UCCUACGGGACGCAGCAGUGGGGAAUAUUGCACAAUGGGGGAAACCCUGACGCAGCGACGCCGCGUGAGCGAAGAAGUAUUUCGGUAUGUAAAGCUCUAUCAGCAGGGAAGAAAAUGACGGUACCUGAGUAAGAAGCUCCGGCUAAAUACGUGCCAGCAGCCGCGGGAAUACGUAUGGAGCAAGCGUUAUCCGGAUUUACUGGGCGUAAAGGGAGCGUAGACGGAAGAACAAGUUGGUUGUGAAAUCCCUCGGCUCAACUGAGGAACUGCAACCAAAACUAUUCUCCUUGAGUG
Molecule: ribosomal RNA, 294 nt
Filed under: uncultured bacterium
Lineage: Bacteria
Description: partial 16S ribosomal RNA
Rfam family: Bacterial small subunit ribosomal RNA
Source: RNAcentral